CAACCCAGUCAUACUCGUGGGGGCGGAGGGAGGGGGCGGAGAGCGCGAGUGGGAAGCAAGGCAGGGCAGGGAUCCGAGGUCCUGCUGUGGCCAGGUCGCGGGAGGAGGCGCUGUCUGCACUUCCGGAAUGCGGGGGUAGAAAAGAAAACCAGCUGGAAGAGGUUGGUGGGGACGGGGAUGGGCAACAGGCUGGUCCCCCAGAUCCUGGCUAAGCUCCCUCUCUCGAAGCCGCAGGAAGGCCGCAUUCCACCCUCCUGCUCCCGCCAAGGUGACUAAAAUGGGACACAGGAAAAGUAAAUAAUCUAUACAACUUCACAGAGCCAGUAAGAAUGAAAGCUGGGAUUUAAAUCCAAGCAAGACUGCCCCGAGGAGAGAAGCACCGCUCCACCAUGCCCUUCCAUCGAGAAGCUCUGCCUCCCCUCAGGCCACAGCAAUAGAACCAGCCUACCAGGGACUGAAACCUCUGAAACCGUACGCCCAGAUACAUCCUUCCUCCUUUAAAUUGUUUUUCUCAGGUAUUUGGUCACAGUAAUAAAAUGCUAACACAUACUCUUUUUGCAAAAGUUAGUGAUUGUGUUGGGAAUUUAGCUCAGUGGUUCUGCCGCCUGCCUC
Fukomys damarensis (Damara mole-rat) is the source of this 612-nucleotide long non-coding RNA. RefSeq lists it as uncharacterized. The transcript has 3 exons. The record is from RefSeq and is a predicted model, not a curated record. Lineage: Eukaryota; Metazoa; Chordata; Mammalia; Rodentia; Bathyergidae.